UACGGGAGGCAGCAGUAGGGAAUUUUCGUCAAUGGGGGGAACCCUGAACGAGCAAUGCCGCGUGAGUGAGGAAGGUCUUCGGAUCGUAAAGCUCUGUUGUAAGAGAAAAACGGCACUCAUAGGGAAUGAUGAGUGAGUGAUGGUAUCUUACCAGAAAGUCACGGCUAACUACGUGCCAGCAGCCGCGGUAAUACGUAGGUGGCGAGCGUUAUCCGGAAUGAUUGGGCGUAAAGGGUGCGUAGGUGGCAGAUCAAGUCUGGAGUAAAAGGUAUGGGCUCAACCCGUACUUGCUCUGGAAACUGAUCAGCUAGAGAACAGAAGAGGACGGCGGAACUCCAUGUGUAGCGGUAAAAUGCGUAGAUAUAUGGAAGAACACCGGUGGCGAAGGCGGCCGUCUGGUCUGGAUUCUGACACUGAAGCACGAAAGCGUGGGGAGCAAAUAGGAUUAGAUACCCUAGUAGUCCACGCCGUAAACGAUGAGAACUAGGUGUUGGGGGAAUAACUCAGUGCCGCAGUUAACGCAAUAAGUUCUCCGCCUGGGGAGUAUGCACGCAAGUGUGAAACUCAAAGGAAUUGACGGA
RNAcentral lists this ribosomal RNA (581 nucleotides) under uncultured bacterium. Its description in RNAcentral is "bacterial SSU rRNA". It matches the Rfam family "Bacterial small subunit ribosomal RNA", at positions 340 to 917 of the family's 1533-position model. The record is from RNAcentral.